This 195-nucleotide ribosomal RNA is filed under the name uncultured Verrucomicrobiales bacterium. Its description in RNAcentral is "partial 16S ribosomal RNA". It matches the Rfam family "Bacterial small subunit ribosomal RNA", at positions 338 to 524 of the family's 1533-position model. The record is from RNAcentral. Lineage: Bacteria; Pseudomonadati; Verrucomicrobiota; Verrucomicrobiia; Verrucomicrobiales.
CCUACGGGAGGCAGCAGUGGGGAAUUUUGCGCAAUGGGGGAAACCCUGACGCAGCAACGCCGCGUGGAGGAUGAAGCCCCUUGGGGUGUAAACUCCUGUCACUGCAGAACAAGGAUACGCAUGUUAAUAGCAAGCGUAUUUGAUGGUAUGCGGAGAGGAAGGGACGGCUAACUCUGUGCCAGCAGCCGCGGUAAU